RNAcentral lists this unclassified non-coding RNA (347 nucleotides) under Hevea brasiliensis (rubber tree). Lineage: Eukaryota; Viridiplantae; Streptophyta; Magnoliopsida; Malpighiales; Euphorbiaceae. The record is from RNAcentral.
GCACUAAUCAAGUUAAUUUUGGUACGCUAUAUAAUACUACCCGCCCAAAACUGAAUCAAAUAGUCAAUGCCAGGUUAAAAAAUCCAACAUGGCAAUCAAAAGUCAAAGCUCAAUCAGAAGGUCAAAAGUGAGGAAGUUAUGAUCGGAGAGCUGCCCGAAAAUCACUUGGCUCGGACUAACCAAACCGAGCUUUUGAAUGCUCAGCCUGGUUAGUUUGAGCGAACACAAGCAAGAGUUAUCUAAGCAAGGAACAAGAGAUGCUCGCCCAACAAGCCGAGCAUCAACCUUAUCAAGCAUCAACAGUUCCAGGUCAACAAUCAAGGUAGAUUCAUAGGCAAGAAUGUCAG